RNAcentral lists this ribosomal RNA (520 nucleotides) under uncultured Glomus. RNAcentral describes it as "SSU rRNA". It matches the Rfam family "Eukaryotic small subunit ribosomal RNA", at positions 569 to 1092 of the family's 1831-position model. The record is from RNAcentral. Lineage: Eukaryota; Fungi; Glomeromycota; Glomeromycetes; Glomerales; Glomeraceae.
AGCAGCCGCGGUAAUUCCAGCUCCAAUAGCGUAUAUUAAAGUUGUUGCAGUUAAAAAGCUCGUAGUUGAAUUUCGGGGUUAGUAGGCUGGUCGUGCCACUGGUACGUACUGGUCUCACUGAUUCCUCCUUCCUGAUGAACCGUAAUGCCAUUAAUUUGGUGUUGCGGGGAAACUGGACUGUUACUUUGAAAAAAUUAGAGUGUUUAAAGCAAGCUAACGCUUGAAUACAUUAGCAUGGAAUAAUGAAAUAGGACGUUCGAUCCUAUUUUGUUGGUUUCUAGGAUUGACGUAAUGAUUAAUAGGGAUAGUUGGGGGCAUUAGUAUUCAAUUGUCAGAGGUGAAAUUCUUGGAUUUAUUGAAGACUAACUACUGCGAAAGCAUUUGCCAAGGAUGUUUUCAUUAAUCAAGAACGAAAGUUAGGGGAUCGAAGACGAUCAGAUACCGUCGUAGUCUUAACCAUAAACUAUGCCGACUAGGGAUCGGAUGAUGUUAUUUUUAAUGACUCAUUCGGCGCCUUACG